UGAGCAAUCUGCCCUUCUCUUCGGAAUAAGCGUUGGAAACGACGUCUAAUGCCGAAUACGACCUCCUUUCGCAUGAUCGGAGGUGGAAAGCUCCGGCGGAGGAGGAUGAGCUCGCGGCCUAUCAGCUAGUUGGUGAGGUAACGGCUCACCAAGGCUUCGACGGGUAGCCGGCCUGAGAGGGCGACCGGCCACACUGGGACUGAGAUACGGCCCAGACUCCGUACGGGAGGNAG
RNAcentral lists this ribosomal RNA (233 nucleotides) under uncultured bacterium. Its description in RNAcentral is "partial 16S ribosomal RNA". It matches the Rfam family "Bacterial small subunit ribosomal RNA", at positions 118 to 351 of the family's 1533-position model. The record is from RNAcentral.